CGGAACACGUACACAACCUUCCGAUAAGUGGGGAAUAGCCCAGAGAAAUUUGGAUUAAUACCCCGUAACAUAUAGAGUAGGCAUCUUCUUUAUAUUAUAGCUUCGGCGCUUAUUGAUGGGUGUGCGUCUGAUUAGGUAGUUGGCGGGGUAACGGCCCACCAAGCCUGCGAUCAGUAGCUGAUGUGAGAGCAUGAUCAGCCACACGGGCACUGAGACACGGGCCCG
RNAcentral lists this ribosomal RNA (225 nucleotides) under uncultured bacterium. Its description in RNAcentral is "partial 16S ribosomal RNA". It matches the Rfam family "Bacterial small subunit ribosomal RNA", at positions 109 to 334 of the family's 1533-position model. The record is from RNAcentral.